This 1782-nucleotide ribosomal RNA is filed under the name Triticum aestivum (bread wheat). Its description in RNAcentral is "partial small subunit ribosomal RNA". The record is from RNAcentral. Lineage: Eukaryota; Viridiplantae; Streptophyta; Magnoliopsida; Poales; Poaceae.
AUGGGUCUCUGUCAUGGAAAGCCCUCGCGAAUCCCGGAGCCCAAGGCGGAGGAGGAGCCGCGCGUGGCCUCCUCCGGCGCCCGCGAUGCCGCCGGUGGGGUGGCCGCCUCGCCGGCGCAGGCGGCCGCGGCGAAGCCGGGCACGCCGAAGCAGCCCAAGUUCCCCUUCUACCUGCCGAGCCCGCUCCCGGCGUCCAGCUACAAGGGCUCGCCGGCCAACUCGAGCGUGGCGUCCACGCCGGCGCGCGGCGGGUUCAAGCGGCCCUUCCCGCCGCCGUCGCCGGCCAAGCACAUCCGCGCGCUCCUGGCGCGGCGGCACGGCUCCGUAAAGCCCAACGAGGCGUCCAUCCCCGAGGGCGGCGAGCCGGAGCUGGGCCUCGACAAGAGCUUCGGCUUCUCCAAGCACUUCUUCGCCAAGUACGAGCUCGGCGAGGAGGUCGGCCGCGGCCACUUCGGCUACACCUGCGCCGCCAAGGCCAAGAAGGGCGAGCACAAGGGCCAGGACGUCGCCGUCAAGGUCAUCCCCAAGGCCAAGAUGACAACAGCCAUAGCAAUUGAAGAUGUCAGAAGAGAAGUGAGGAUAUUGAGCUCUCUGACAGGCCACAGCAACCUAGUGCAGUUCUAUGAUGCUUUUGAAGAUGAAGACAACGUGUAUAUAGUUAUGGAAUUGUGUAAAGGAGGCGAACUACUUGAUAAGAUAUUGGCGAGAGGUGGAAAGUAUUCUGAAGAGGAUGCAAAGGUUGUUAUGCUGCAAAUUUUGAGUGUAGUAUCAUUUUGCCAUCUUCAAGGUGUUGUUCAUCGGGAUCUGAAACCAGAGAAUUUUCUAUUCUCAUCGAAGGAGGAAAACUCACCCUUGAAGGUCAUAGACUUUGGCUUGUCUGACUUUGUAAAGCCAGAUGAAAGACUCAACGACAUUGUUGGAAGUGCAUAUUAUGUUGCUCCCGAGGUGCUUCAUCGAUCUUAUGGCACGGAGGGAGAUAUGUGGAGCAUUGGAGUAAUUGCCUACAUUUUGCUUUGUGGGAGUCGACCUUUCUGGGCACGCACAGAAUCAGGAAUAUUCCGAGCUGUCCUUAAGGCGGAACCAAGUUUUGACGAGGCCCCAUGGCCUACUCUCUCUGCUGAAGCCAAAGACUUUGUAAAAAGGUUGCUUAAUAAGGAUUAUCGCAAGAGGAUGACUGCCUCACAAGCUCUCAGUCACCCAUGGAUCCGUGAUGCACAACAAGUCAAAAUUCCUUUAGAUAUGAUAAUCUACAAGCUUAUCCGAGCUUAUAUCAGUUCAUCUUCAUUGCGGAAGUCUGCUUUGAGGGCCCUAGCUAAGACAUUGACAGCAAAUCAACUCUUUUAUCUAAAAGAGCAGUUUGAAUUGUUGGGUCCAAACAAGAGUGGUUUUAUCUCGUUGCAAAAUUUGAAAUCGGCUCUGGUGAAGAAUUCGACGGAUGCAAUGAAGGAUUCCAGGGUUAUUGACUUUGUUAACACGGUAUGCACCCUUCAGUACAGAAAAUUGGAUUUCGAAGAGUUUGCGGCUUCCGCCAUCAGCGUAUAUCAGAUGGAAGCUCUGGAGACCUGGGAACAGCACGCUCGGCGCGCGUAUGAGCUGUUUGACAAGGAGGGCAACCGGCCUAUCGUGAUCGAAGAACUUGCGUCGGAACUCGGCCUCGGCCCGUCGGUGCCCCUCCACGUCGUCCUCCAGGACUGGAUCAGGCACGCCGACGGGAAGCUCAGCUUCCUCGGGUUCAUAAAGCUCUUGCACGGAGUUUCUUCCCGGUCGAUCCCGAAAGCCUGA